Ipomoea nil (Japanese morning glory) is the source of this 146-nucleotide non-coding RNA. NCBI's taxonomy places the organism in Eukaryota, Viridiplantae, Streptophyta, Magnoliopsida, Solanales, Convolvulaceae. The record is from Rfam.
AAAUUGCACCGACCGCACGGGAAACCAUGUUCUCAUUUGAACAUAUAUAUAUAUAUAUAUAUAUAUAUAUAUAUAUAUAUAUAUAUAUAUAUAUAUAUAUAUUGGUUCAAAUGAGAACAUGGUUUCCCGUGCGGUCGGUGCAGUUU